GCUCUGUGAUGAACCCCAUGCGUGUCAUCUGAGCCUGGCUUCCCUGUCUCGGCCCAGGUAGUGUUCUACUUCCCAGGGCUGUUGUCUGGACUGGCAGGGGGGCUCCCAGGCAAAGGAUAAAUCUUUGAAUCCUGAGAGC
Rhinolophus ferrumequinum (greater horseshoe bat) is the source of this 139-nucleotide small nucleolar RNA. Ensembl annotates it as small nucleolar RNA, C/D box 10. Its record names the gene SNORD10. The record is from Ensembl. Lineage: Eukaryota; Metazoa; Chordata; Mammalia; Chiroptera; Rhinolophidae.